This 504-nucleotide ribosomal RNA is filed under the name uncultured bacterium. Its description in RNAcentral is "partial 16S ribosomal RNA". It matches the Rfam family "Bacterial small subunit ribosomal RNA", at positions 28 to 507 of the family's 1533-position model. The record is from RNAcentral.
GACGAACGCUGGCGGCGUGCUUAACACAUGCAAGUCGAACGGUGAAGCGCUUGCCUUUUUGGUGGGUGUGGAUGAGUGGCGAACGGGUGAGUAACACGUGAGUAACCUGCCCUCUUCUUCUGGAUAACCUCAUGAAAGUGGGGCUAAUACGGGGUAUUCCGGGUCUGUCGCAUGGCGGGUUUGGGAAAGAUUGCGCCUUUGGGUGUUUUCGGUGGGGGAUGGGCUCGCGGCCUAUCAGCUUGUUGGUGGGGUGAUGGCCUACCAAGGCGGUGACGGGUAGCCGGCCUGAGAGGGUGGACGGCCACACUGGGACUGAGACACGGCCCAGACUCCUGCGGGAGGCAGCAGUGGGGAAUAGUGCACAAUGGGCGCAAGCCUGAUGCAGCGACGCCGCGUGAGGGAUGGAGGCCUUCGGGUUGUGAACCUCUUUCGCCAGUGAAGCAGGCCUGCUCCUGUGUGGGUGGGUUGACGGUAGCUGGAGAAGAAGCGCCGGCUAACUACGUG